AGGAUGAACGCUGGCGGUAUGCUUUACACAUGCAAGUCGUACGAGAGUUUUUAACUCAAGUGGCGGACGGGUGAGUAACACGUAAGAAUUUGCCUUUAGGAGGGGGAUAACAACUGGAAACGGUUGCUAAUACCCCAUAUGCUUUCGAGUGAAAUGGAUUUUUCCGCCUAAAGAGAAGCUUGCGGCUGAUUAGCUUGUUGGUGAGGUAAUGGCUUACCAAGGCGACGAUCAGUAUCUGGUUUGAGAGGACGAUCAGACACACUGGAACUGAGACACGGUCCAGACUCCUACGGGAGGCAGCAGUGGGGAAUUUUCCGCAAUGGGCGAAAGCCUGACGGAGCAAUACCGCGUGAGGGAUGACGGCCUAUGGGUUGUAAACCUCUUUUUCAGGGAGGAAUCAAUGACGUGUACCUGAAGAAUAAGCAUCGGCUAACUCCGUGCCAGCAGCCGC
RNAcentral lists this ribosomal RNA (451 nucleotides) under uncultured bacterium. RNAcentral describes it as "SSU rRNA". It matches the Rfam family "Bacterial small subunit ribosomal RNA", at positions 26 to 518 of the family's 1533-position model. The record is from RNAcentral.